Non-coding RNA from Oryctolagus cuniculus (rabbit), 9795 nucleotides. The record is from RefSeq and is a predicted model, not a curated record. NCBI's taxonomy places the organism in Eukaryota, Metazoa, Chordata, Mammalia, Lagomorpha, Leporidae.
UGGCAGUAAUGCCCAGAGCUGCGCCGAUCUGAAGCCAGGAGCCAGGAGCUUCCUCUGGGUCUCCCAUGCUGGUGCAGGGGCCCAAGGACUUGAGCUGUCUUCUGUUGCUUUCCCAGGCCACAGCAGAGAGCUGGAUUGGAAGUGGAGCAGCCGGGUCUCGAACUGACACCCAUAUGGGAUGCUGGCACUGCAGGCGGCAGCUUUACCUGCUACACCACAAAGGGCUCAUCUUUAUAGGGAGAGAGAGACGGCAAGUAAGUGCUGAAGUGGGGGCCAUUUUGAGGCAGAACAUUAUGAACUGAAAGGUACAUACCACGUGUGGUGCUUUAAAAGUCAGGUAACAAGUGUACAACUCCAGAUGAAGAAGACCACGUCUUCCCUCCCUCCCAUCCUGACCGCCUUGGAGAGAGGGAGGGACAGUGCAGAUGCAUGCUGAAGGAAAUGGAUGUCAUGGCAACCAUCAGAGAAGUGGGGACCCUGUGUUCUCCUGGAAGCACCCCUCAAGGAAGAAAACAGAACAGCAAAUUGAGUUCCCACAAAUGUGGAAAGGCCCUCCUAGUGGGAAUUCCCAGCCAUCACCAGUACUCACUUUGGAAGAGUCGGUAGGGGAAGUGCAUUUCAUUAAUACUCUGAAGUUAUACCAUGUAAGCUGGAAAAUACAAGGAGCAGUGUUAGUAAGACCUCCUUGGCACUCUCUUGGGGACAUUGUAAUGAUGAAUAUUAAUGUUAUUAACUAACAAUAUAAUACUAGAUCAUCAUCACCACAACUAUUUUUAUAGACUAGUGAAUUUGAUUGUUGCAAGCAUAACGAUUUUUAUACUAUCACCUAAGUAGUGAGAUACUAUCAAUAGAUAACAUACAGGGCAUCCAAAAAAAACUUGCUUCUUAAAAUCUUUUUUUUUUUUAAGAUUUAUUUAUUUAUUUGAGAGACAAAGAGAUCUUCCAUCUGCUGGUUCAAUGCCCAAAUGGCUGCAACAGCUAGAGCUGAGCCGGUCUGAAACCAGGAGCCAGGAGCUUCCUCCUGAUCUCCCAAAUGGAUGCAGGGGCCUAAGCCCUUCAGCCAUCUUCCACUGCUUUCCCAGGCCAUAAGCAGAGAACUAAAUCAGAAGAGGAACAGCCAGGAUACAAACGAGUGCCCAUAUGGGAUGCCGGUGCUGCAGAUGGAGGCCUAACCUGCUAUGCCACAGUUCCAACCCCUUUUAAAAUCUUAAACACAUCAUUCAUUCAUAAGUUACUCAUUUCCUCUCAAAAAGUGAGAAAUAUCAGUGUACACUGAGAUUUAGGAGUAAUGACCACCCAUUUUUAUAGGGAAACUCUAUGAAGCUUAUUGUUGCUAUUUACAAAUAUGUCAAAUUUGAAUAAGGAAGAGGUUUGAUGCUUGAGCUGGUUUUAAGUUCUAUCUUUCUGAAUAUUUAAAUUGCAUUUUUGCAUUCUUUCCAAUAAUUCCAAGAGUCACUGAAUGUUCUUAAAACUUUAUAAUGAAUUCUCCUUAAGAAUGAAUAAAAUUCCCUAUGAAUGAAUUUAAAAGAACGUAUAGGAAAUUAAGUGGUCAUAUUUGUGGCAGAAUUUCUUUUUAACAAUAACAUAACCAUGGUGAAUCAAAGGAAUGAAAAAAGGGCAGGCCAUGAAUCCUGAGUCUCAGAAGGGUAGUACUGAGGCUUGAGUUUUGAUAAUUUGGCGAUUUCUGAUUGUUUUGCCAUGGAGCCUCUUAACAUCAUCCUGCCCGUGAAAGCAUUGGGAUGAAGAUGGCACUUUCAGUCUCACAGAGAAAACACAAAUAGAUGGUUAACACUCAGGUAACAUUGUCAUCUUCCUUACUGUACUCAUCCGUUUCCAUGAGAAAAAAAAGAUUUGCAGUUUUGUCAGUUUUGUUUUCCUUUGAGUUCACAGAUUCUUCCACUUUAGCAGUCUACACAUGCUGACAGGAGGACACUUUGAACUCAUUCUUAAUAUAACUCCGUGAAAACCAUAGUUAUUUAAUGUCAACUUCUUUUUUUUUUAUAAAAUGUUUAUUUAUUUGAAAGUCAGAGUCACACAGAGAAGGAGAGGCAGAUAGAGAGAGAGAGAGGUCUUCCAUCUGCUGGUUCACUCCCCAGUGGUCUCCCACAAGGGUGCAGGGGCCCAAGGACCCAGACCAUCUUCUACUGCUUUCCCAGGGCAUAGCAGAAAGCUGGACCGGAAGUGGAGCAGCUGGGACUUGAACUGGUGCCCAUAUGGGAUGAUGGCACUGCAGGUGGCAGCUUUACCCAUUACACCACAGCGCUGGCCCCUAAUGUCAACUUCUAGGCUGAUGUUUUUGAUGAGUAGCAAAUGCUCAGUGAGUUACAUAUGAGGGCACUUCAAAAAGUUUGUGGUAAGGUGGGUGUUUGGCACAGCAAUAAGAUACUGCUUGGGAUGCCUGCUUAUACCUGGGUUCAAGUCCUGACUUCAACUUGCAAUUCCAGCCUCCAGCUCAGGUACAUCCUGGAAGGCAGCAGGUGAUGGGUCAAGUUCAUGGGUCUUUGCCCUCUACACAGAAGACCUGAACUGAGACCCCAGUUCCUGGCAUCAGCCUAUCCCAGCUCCAGCUGCUGCAGGCAUUUGAGAAGUGAACCAGUUGAUGAGAGACCUCUAUGUCUCUUCCUCUCAUCUCUCUGCUUUCCAAAUAAAUUAAAUAGAUGAAUUAAUUUUGAAAAGUGGGGUUUGGUGCUGUGGCUUAAAAAGUUAAACCUCCACCUGCAAUAUUGCCAUCCCAUAUGGGCUCCAGUUCAAGUCCCAGCUGCUCUACUUCUGAUUCAGCUCCCUGCUAAUGAGCCUGAGAAAGCAGCGGAAGAUGGUUCAAGUCCUUGGGCCUUUGCACCCAUGUGGGAGACCCAGAUGAAGCUCCUGGCCCAGCCCCAGCUUUGCAGCAAUUUGGAGAGUAAACCAGCAGAUGGAAGCUCUCUCUCCUUCUCUCUCUCUCUACCUUGCCAAUAAAUAAAUCUUUAAAAAGAAAGUUUGUGGCAAAGUAGGAUUUUAAAAUGUUAAUUUUUUUGCAAAGUUUUUGAAACUCAUACAUAGUAUGUUCAUAACACACAUUUUCUGUGACCUUACAUUUUGCUUUAAAUUUUAUUUUUUGUUUCAUUUAAGAAGCAGAGAGACAGAUAUAGACAGAGCUCUCUUGUCCACUGGUUCACUCCCCAAAUGGCCACCACAGCUGGACUCAAUCCGAGUCUUUGUGAGUAGCAGGGACACAAUGACUUAAUCCAUCACCUCCUACCUCCCAAAGUGUACACUAGUGGGAAAUGGAAUUGGGAAUGGAGACAAGUCAUGAACCCAGGCACUCCAAUAUGGGAUAUAGGCCUCUGUGAACUUUUUGAAGGCCCCCUUGUACAGUGUCAGCAUGAAACAGAGUUUAGUGUGAGGUCCAAAGAGGCACCAAAGUGUAGGAGCUUGAAAAAACAAGGACAUGUAAUAGAAACUAAUCAAAACAUGAGCCACAGGGGCCAGCAUUGUGGCACUACCUGCAACGCCAACAUCCCCCACUGGAGCUCUGGUUGCAGUCUCAGUUGCUCCACUUACUAUUUAGUGUCCUGCUAAUGUGCAUGGGAGAGCAGUGGAAGAUGGCCCAAGUACCUGGGCCCCUGCCACCCGCACAGGAGACCUGGACGGAAUUUCUGGCUUCAGCUUGGCCCACUGCCCAGCUGUGACACCAUUUGGGGAGAGAAUGGGUGGAAGAUCUGUUUCUUUGUCUCAUCUCUCUUCUUUCUAUCACUCUGCCUUUCAAAUAAAUAUUUUUUAAAACCAUGAGCAAUAUCCAAUUUCCUAACAUAUUGGUAAGUUUCAUAUCCGUUUUUAAUUUUGAAAGAUUGUCUUCAAUAAAUAUUUCAUUAUUCAUCCCUAACCCAGCAUGUCAUUUUACAAUGUUGUAAAGUACCCUUGUUAGGUUACAGUUUGAAUCAUAGAGAAAUGUUAAACCAAAUGUUAGACCCUUGAUAUCCAGCUCUAAGAAUCCUUGGACCCCUUAAUCUUAUAAAUGAUUUUUUAAAAAAGUUCGUGGGGCCGUUCGCUGUGGCUCACUUGGUUAAUCCUCCACCUGUGGCAACGGCAUCCCAUAUGGGCGCCAGGUUCUAGUCCCAGUUGCUCCUCUUCCAGUCCAGCUCUCUGCUGUGGCCUGGGAAAGCAGUGAAGGAUGGCCCAAGUGCUUGGGCCCUGCACCCACAUGGGAGACCAGGAGAAGCACCUGGCUCCUGGCUUCAGAUCUGCACAGUUCCGGCCGUGGUGGCCAUUUUGGGGUGAACCAGCAGAAGGAAGACCUUUCUCUGAUUCUCUCUCUCUCACUGUCUGUAACUCUACCUGUCAAAUAAAAAAAAAAGUUCAGGAAAGUGGGUUGCCUGUCCCGGGUGAUACAACAGAAUGGUUUUGGAAGGAGGUUUAGAACUCACUCUGCCUCUGCUAAUUCUGUUAUUUGCCCAUGAGCCAUAGUUGUUUAGCUGAACCCUCCAUAAAAGUGUUAAGCCUCCAUAAAAAGUUGCCAGCCCAGUCUCCUCUAUCAAAAAUUAUUUCUGUAAAUGGAGGAUUCAUAAUCUUAGCACUCAAAAAUGCUGAGUUCCCAGCAGUGAGGGUGCUACAUAGGAAGUAUGAGGUGCCGGCGCUGUGGCGCCGCAGGUUAACGUCCUGGCCUGAAGCACCAGCAUCCCAUAUGAGCACCUGUUCUAGUCCCAGCUGCUCCUCUUCCAAUCCAGCUCUCUGCUAUAGCCUUGGAAAGCAGUAGAAGAUGGCCCAAGUGCUUGGACCCCUGUACCUGCAUGAGAAACCAGGAAGAAGCAUCUGGCUCCUGGCUUCUGAUCAGCACAGCUACGACCAUUAUGACCAUCUGGGGAGUGAACCAGAGGAUGGAAGAUCUCUCUCUCUAUGUCUCUACCUCUCUCUGUAACUCUUUCAUAUAAAUAAAAUCUUAAAAAAAAAAAGUAUGAACUCAAAGCCAGAAUUCAGUGACCUCCCCUGUAGCUUUUCAUGAGAAAAAUGUUCACACACACACACACACACACACAGCAAAUUUCUAGUUGUUAUCUGUAUUUGUUGAGCGUGUCAUUUUUCCAUAGCUGUCAUCUCCCCAAGGCCCAAAUUAGGACAUGAAAGAGUUAAAGGAUUUUCUAUCAUCUUCUCUUACAAUGCAUCAGAAGAGAUUUGUUCCAGGGGUCAAGAGCAACUCCACAAUGACCCAUCAAAAUGAUUAGAAAUAAAGAUAGAUAUAGAAUAUAUAGAUGUAGCUAUUUCCCAAGGCUUACCCUCUCAAUGAAAUUAUGGCUGCUCUAAAAAUAAGAAUUUAAAAAUCUACUAAGCUAUCUAUUUGAUUGUGAAAGAUAUGUCUCUGGGUGAUAAGGCCAAAGGAGAUAGGAUAAUGGGUAUUACCAAGAGCAAGAUCUCCGAAAUGAGACUAAUGUGCAGUCUCAUUGCAGGUCUGAAGAUACAGUUCCCAUUUAUGGUCGACUGUGCAGUGGUGCUGGAACAUGUGAGUCAGAAGCCUUGUCCAGCUUUCACAGGCCACAGAUAAAGCAAGUCACAUGAUCAAGUGGAGUACCAAAAUGGAAGACCACUGCAAUGUAACCUGCCAAAGGGCAUGAAGACCAGGAUCGGUGAAGAACUGGGGCCAUCUUGACAAUCCACCAUAGCCUACAUUCAUGCAAAUUAUACUUCAAAACUGACAGGUAAUCAAAAUUUGAAGCAAUUCAUCACCAGCAGACAUAUCCUGUAAGAAAUGCUAAAAGAAGUUCUUUGGGCAAAAAGAAAAUUAUAUGUGUCAUAAAGAUGGGUCCAUCAACAGAAAGAGGGGAUUAAGGGAACAAAGCAAAGAACAUAGUUUUUCAAAGACUGAAUAAAACAGAAAAAUGUGUCUCUUCUGCUCACCAGCAUCACUGGUCAUUCUCUUGAAGCAACUCAAAACAGCUCCUCUCAAAUACAUAACAUUGAGCAGUAAAAGCACAUUGCAGAAUACUUCAAAAAGUUCAUGGAAAAUGGAACUAAAACUCCUGGGGAGAAGAGGAAGGCAAUUAAUCUUGCAAUGAAACUCAAGAUGAUUGCCCACAUGGAAGGAGCAUCCAGGAGUGGUCAUUGCAAACGAGUUAGGAUCUUUGCAGUAGAGACUGUCUUGACUGUCUUAAAGAAUAAGCAGUGACUCAAUGAUGCAGUGAAAUCAUCAGAUCCAUUGUCAUGAUGAAGAAAAGGGCUGGACUGAUUGAUGAUACUUGUCAUGUGGUUGGAAGACCAGAUACAGAGAUGCAUAUCAUUUGGCCUACUGACAAUCCAGGCUCAGGCAAUGAGUCUUUUUAUACACUCAAAAAGCCUACUGAUGAUCCCAGGGAUAUGCAAAUGUUUAGAGCAAGUCAUGGGUUGUUCCAAAACUUCAAAAAGCAUCACAUUUUUUACAACGUGAAAAUCAGGGGUGAGAAGGCAAUGCUGAAGUUGCCAAACUUCUUCAGGAAAAGCUGCAUGGGAUAAUUGUGGAUGAGAAAUAUUUGUCAGAAUAAAUAUUGAAUGUCAAUGAUGCAAUCUUGUUCUGGAAGUGUACGCCAGAACGCCAUGCAUCAACCAAGAGUCCAAGACCUUGCCAGGAAUCUGUUUCAGGGUCAAAUGAAAGCCUUUCCUAACCUACCACUCUGAGAUCCUAGAGCACUCAAGAAAGUGAGCAAGCAUAUGCUUCCUGGUGAUUAUUACUGUAACAAGAAAGCCUGCGUAAUAUCAGCAUCGCUUGAAGACUUGCUUUUGAACUAUUUUAGUCUGCAGGCAUGAAAAUAUUGUAGGCAAAACAACACCCUGUUCAAGAUUCCUCUGAUCUCAGAUAACACUCCAGGGUAUCCAAGGCACAUUGGCAACACACAUCCUGAUGUAACAGCUGUGUGUUUGCUGCUGAACACAACCAUACUUAUUCAACCAGUGGACCAAGGCACAAUAGUUAAGGUCAAAGUUUACUAUGUACACCAAAUGUCUGUACAAGCUUUUGCAGCAACUGAAUCUGGCUAACUGUUCUGAGAGUUUUGGAAAGUUUUUCACAUGCUAAAUGUUAUUUGGAACACUGCUUCAACAUGGGGGAGGAAUCACACAGAAAUGCAUGGAUGACAUUUAUGAGAAAGUUUGCAAAUUUAUGUGAACAUAUUCAAAGGCUUUAACAAAGAUUCUGCUGUUGAAGAAACAGUAAGUAACAAGAUAUUAGUGCUUGGGAAACAGCUAGAACUGUAUAUCUAUGAAGAGAAUAUUCAUGAGCUUGUUGGCAUUGAGGAUAAAAAGCCUUCCAGUGAAGAGCGGAUCAAACUGGAGGAAGAAGAAAGUAAAGAAAUUGAGGCAGAGAAAGAAGCUACACCCAAGGCACCAAGAAAAUUCACAGGAGAGAAACUAGUGGAGGCAUGUGUUACUAUCAGCAGUGGCAUAUGCAUAUAAGAAGACGUGGAUGUCAAUUAGAAGAGAUUUCCAAGAGUUCCAGGCAGACACAGGGCGUGCUUGCUUGCGAUGGAGACAUGUCUAAUGAAAAGAACAAACUGCACAAAGUGUGAUAUCUUGCCAGAGAACACUAUGCCUGCUAAACCAUUCACCAACGUGGAUGUUCCAGUGCCUUCUACCAGCAAUUCUCAAGCUUCAUCCACAGAAAAAUUGAUGAGCCUGUCACUGUAGCAUCCUCAUCAGUCAGCAGCUAAUUUUCAUUUGAUGAUUCAAAUAUUCUUCAUGCCCAGUGUGCUUUCAGCUGCAUGCAUUAAAUGGUGAAUACUCAUACAGCCACUCUGUUUUCCCCUUUCAUUACGGCAUUCAAUAAAUUAUAGGAGAUAUUCAAUGGAUUAUUACAAAAUCGACUGUGUCAGAUGAUAUCCCCCUGACUGUAGGCUAAUGUUAAGUGUUCUGAGCAUAUUGUGCACUAGACUAAGAUAGGAUGUUUGUCAGGUGUAUUAAAUGCAGUUUUGACUUAAUAUUUUCGAGUUAAUGACAGAUUUGUUGGGAUAUAAUUCCAUUAGGAAUCAAUGAGCAUCUGUAUUUACGAUGGAUGGUAAAUAUAGAAAUACCACAGUAUCCUACUUAGAGAAUAAGCUCUGAUUAACCACUGUAACUUCUUACUACAUCACUUAGAUAUAUGACAAACCUUCCUUUAUGUAACAACAUUUAUGUUCUGGCAUACUUCUGAUCUGUCCUUCCUCUGCUUCUCAGACUCAGGUGAAAUAGAACCUCAUCUAUAACCUACCCAUGUGCCCGCAAGCCUGGGUCUCCUCCUCUGUUUCCAUGAACCUUCCAAUCAUGCUGGCACUUUCACUGUUUCUUCCUGCCUUGUGGUUACAUGUGUGUCCAACAAGUUUCCAGACCACCCUCAAACAUUCUCUCCUAUCUCCAUCCACAAUUUUGGACUUUCUCUUCCUUCAAGUUGUAUCUCCUCUCUCUCCCUUUUCUCUGCUCACCACUGCCUCAGGCUGUCAAAGCAGUUCGGAUCACAGGCUCUGGCUUAAGUCUUACCCCAAUUCAAAUGCUGGUUCUACAGCCAGCCAGGUAAAUGGCUUUAGACAAAGAUACUUCUCUGGUCCUCAGUUUCCUUACAGUAACAUGGUAAAUUGUAUUUAAAAGAGUUGUAGUAAGUUAAUGAAUGCAAAACUUUUAACACAAUUGUAGCGGGAUAACUUGAACAGAAAUAGGAGAGGCUGAGGCUUUAGCAGGAAACUGCUUUAUUCAUGCUGGCACGAGGCUCAGUUGGAUUCACAUUCUAAAGACUGAGCUCUGAACAAAGAGAGACGUCAGUUAAAUAUCUUUUAGCUUCUUUGCCCCCCUUCUCAGGUUAAGUACAUUUGACUGGGUAUUCUAAGGCUACAUAGAAGCUAUAGGAAUAGAUAUAAGAUUGUGCCUGUGUACACAGUUACUGAUAAGGUUCAACUAGUUUCCUUUAAUAGACCUAACGUUUCUUCCCCAUACAUAGUGAGCUAUAUGCUUGCUGGCACUGGCUAGCAACAUUGCACUGUGCUGACAGGCAGACGUUGAAACAGGUAAGCAAGUAGAUAUGGCUGCAUUCCAUCCCAGGAUAGUCCCUUCUCUUCCUCUAUUUUGAGAAUACCCCUAUCCUACAAUGACCAACAAAAAUCUGCUCAGUGAAUACCACCUGAUACAUGGACCACUACCAACAAGAUCGUCGUCGUUGUCAUCACUACCACCAUGAUUAUUAAUGCUAUAGUACAAGUGCAUCAGGUGUCACAAAGUCAGAUCAGUUCACGAAACGUGAUGUUAAUGGUUGCUGAAAUGAAAGUUCUUAAUAAGAUAUUACCCAUACGUAACUUUUCUGACCCAAACUUCAGAAAUUCUUACGGAGAAAAAUUUAUACUAAUUUUAGUACUGCUUUCACUAAAAGAAACCAUUGAUUAUUAAUUUAAUUAAUUACCUUAACUUUAACAACGAUAUAUUUUCCAAAAGCAGACAAAUGGAUUAAGCAAAUAGAACAUGACUCAUACACUCAAUGGUCCUUCCCUUUAGCCAGCAUUCAUUGAGCACGUGCCAGGUGUUAGCAACAUUCCAAUAAACAGAGAAAAUGAAUUUUUUGUUCUCAUGAAUUAUAUUUCAAAUGGGUAUGGGAAAUAUAUAACAAAAAAUAAAUACUGUUAUGUAAUAUAUCAAAGAGUGAUAAUUGCAGAAACAAAAAUGUAAGGAAACAUAGGAUGAUGAGGGAGGUACUACUUUAAUGAAGAAAUCAGAGAAGGCCUCUCAGAUAAGAGACUAGUUUUAAAAUUUCUGAUUAAAUUUAUCUUCCCACCUUUUUAAUGGCAUCAUGCAUUAAAUCUAUCACUGCACAAGUAUAUCAGACUCAUCCUCUUAUUU